RNAcentral lists this ribosomal RNA (495 nucleotides) under uncultured bacterium. RNAcentral's name for it is "bacterial SSU rRNA". It matches the Rfam family "Bacterial small subunit ribosomal RNA", at positions 28 to 518 of the family's 1533-position model. The record is from RNAcentral.
GAUGAACGCUGGCGGCGUGCCUAACACAUGCAAGUCGAACGAAGCUCCGAUUCUUGAGAUUUCGGUCAAGAGGAAAGGAUGACUUAGUGGCGGACGGGUGAGUAAUACGUGAGCAACCUGCCUUUCAGAGGGGGACAACAGUUGGAAACGACUGCUAAUACCGCAUAAUGUAUCGAGGUGGCAUCACCAUGAUACCAAAGAUUUAUCGCUGAAAGAUGGGCUCACGUCUGAUUAGUUAGUUGGUAGGGUAAUGGCCUACCAAGACUGCGAUCAGUAGCCGGACUGAGAGGUCGAACGGCCACAUUGGGACUGAGAUACGGCCCAGACUCCUACGGGAGGCAGCAGUGGGGAAUAUUGGGCAAUGGGCGCAAGCCUGACCCAGCAACGCCGCGUGAAGGAAGAAGGCUUUCGGGUUGUAAACUUCUUUUAGCAGGGACGAAACAAAUGACGGUACCUGCAGAAUAAGCUCCGGCUAACUACGUGCCAGCAGCCGAC